CCGGCGCACGGGUGAGUAACACGUAUCCAACCUGCCGUCUACUCUUGGACAGCCUUCUGAAAGGAAGAUUAAUACAAGAUGGCAUCAUGAGUCCGCAUGUUCACAUGAUUAAAGGUAUUCCGGUAGACGAUGGGGAGUGCGUUCCAUUAGAUAGUAGGCGGGGUAACGGCCCACCUAGUCUUCGAUGGAUAGGGGUUCUGAGAGGAAGGUCCCCCACAUUGGAACUGAGACACGGUCCAAACUCCUACGGGAGGCAGCAUG
RNAcentral lists this ribosomal RNA (261 nucleotides) under uncultured bacterium. RNAcentral describes it as "partial 16S ribosomal RNA". It matches the Rfam family "Bacterial small subunit ribosomal RNA", at positions 95 to 353 of the family's 1533-position model. The record is from RNAcentral.